Molecule: ribosomal RNA, 400 nt
Filed under: uncultured bacterium
Lineage: Bacteria
Description: bacterial SSU rRNA
Rfam family: Bacterial small subunit ribosomal RNA
Source: RNAcentral
GGGGAAUUUUGGACAAUGGGGGCAACCCUGAUCCAGCCAUGCCGCGUGAGUGAAGAAGGCCUUCGGGUUGUAAAGCUCUUUCGGCGGGGAAGAAAUGGCAACGGCUAAUAUCCGUUGUUGAUGACGGUACCCGCAUAAGAAGCACCGGCUAACUACGUGCCAGCAGCCGCGGUAAUACGUAGGGUGCGAGCGUUAAUCGGAAUUACUGGGCGUAAAGCGUGCGCAGGCGGUUUCGUAAGACAGACGUGAAAUCCCCGGGCUCAACCUGGGAACUGCGUUUGUGACUGCGAGGCUAGAGUACGGCAGAGGGGGGUUAGAAUUCCACGUGUAGCAGUGAAAUGCGUAGAGAUGUGGAGGAAUACCGAUGGCGAAGGCAGCCCCCUGGGUUAGUACUGACGCU